AAGUCCCUAAUCGUUACGUCAAUAGAUGCGGAAAAAACAUUUGACAAAAUUCUGACACGCGUGAUAAAGACACUCCGCAAAUAAGGAAUAGAAAGGAACUUUGUAAACAUAGACGGGUUUAUUUGAAAAACCUACAGCCAACAGAAUAGGAGUGAAAACUCUCCCUUUAGUGGAAGGAACCAGUAAGUGUGCCCGCUUUUAACACUGCUGUUCAACAUUGUCCUGGAGGUUACAGCCACAGCAAUUAGGUAAGGAUAUAGAAUGAAAGGUCCACUUGGAAGACUUGAUACUGUUAAAAUGGCAAUACUCUCCAAAGUGGUCCACAGAUUCAAGUGCUGUAUCUGUCAAAAUUCCAGUGGCUUCUUUCUGUUUGUUUCUUUCAGGAACAGAAGCGGAUCCUGGAGUUCGCAUGAAGCUAUAAGGAAGAGGCCCUAAUUAGCAAAAACGAUCUUGAACAAUGCUCAAAGUUGAUGUCUGAUUGUAAAACCUAGUACAAAGCUUCAGUAAUCCAAGCAGUGCGGUACUGGCAUAAGAAUAGACAUACAGACUAAUGGAAUAGAAUUGAGAAUCCAGAAACAAACCCUUGCGUGCAUGGCUGGUAUAAGAAGUCUCCAACAAACAGUGCUGGGACAAUUGGAUAACCAACGCAGAAGAAUGAAGUUAGACCUCUGCCUCACUCCACAUGUCACUCAUUAACUCAAAAUGGAUCAACAGUCUGUAGGAGCUAAAACCAUAAACCUACUAGAAGAAAACAGGUAAAUCUUGACCUGGGGUCUGGUGAUGGUUUCUUCGAUUUGAUAUCAAAAGAACAACUCUUGUGCAUCAAAGGAUAUUAUCAAGAAUGCGAUAAGGCAGUCUGUAGAAGGGGAGAAAAUAUUCACAAAUCCUAGAUCUGACUUGGGUUUAAUAUCCAGACUCUGUAAGGAACGUUUACGACUCAACAGUAAAAAGAUAGACCGCCCAAUUUAAAAGCAAAGGAAUGGCCAUUUCUUCCAAACAAGAUCUAUAUACAAAUGGAUAACAGGCACUGGAAAAGGACGGUUAACAUUCUUGGUUAUUAAAGAGAUGCAGAUUAACACCACAAUGAGCUACCAUUUCAUACCCACUGGAUGGCCUUCAUGGAGAAAAAGGGCCAGAGGUGGAGCUGGGGAGGAUGGGGGGAAAAUGAACGCUUGUGCUCUGCUGGCAAAACAAAAUGGUGCAGCCAGAGUGGAAAACAGUUUGGCGGUUCGUCAAAAAGUUAAACAUAGAAAUACCAUAUGAUCCGGCAAUCCCACUCCUAAGUAUAUACCCAAGAGAAAUGAAAAUAGAUGUCAACACAGAAACUUGUAUGUGAAUGUUUACAGUACAUGAAUCAUAAUAGCCACAAAGCGGAAACAACUCAACGGUCCGUCGAUGGAUGAGUGGAGAAACAAACUGGGAUAUUACGUUCAAUAAAAUAUUAUUCAGCCAUAAAAGAAAUAUUCAUCAUGGUAGAUCCUGACUGAUCCACUGACUCUGGCUCUGGAGGAGUGGAUCUCUCACGGACGCACACAUUUUGAAUUGUGAUGAAGUCCAAUUUAUCAAGUUUUCUUGCUGAGAUUUUGAUGGGAGUUGCAAACCUGUAUAUCAAUUUGGGGAUAACUGACUUAACUCUGCUGAAUCUUCCCAUUCAUGAAAAAGAGAUGUCUCUCCAUUUAUUUAAAUCUGCCUUGGUUUCUCUCAUCAGUAUUUUUUAGUUUUCCGCAUGGAAAUCCAUACGUUUUGUUAGAUUGACAUCUAAAUAUUUCAUGUUUAUGGACUGUAAAUGUAAAUUAAAAAUAAAUUUGGUUUGGAUUGUUCGAUGAGAGUCCACAGGAAUACAGUUGAUUAAAAUAUUGGUUCCCGUGAUUCUGGAGGCAGACGAGUCUGAUAUAUACAUCGCGUUGGUUCUGUUUCUCGGGAGAACCCCGGCUCACACAAGCACCCCCAUUACCACAACCACUUUUCCACCUUGCCUGCUUCGGUUUGGGAAAUAGUCUCGUAACCCACCAAGCCUCGCCAAUGAAGAGGAGACCAGGGAUCUUUUGCGGGGACAGUCUCUUAGGCCUGUGGCAGAGGCAAAGAUAACAUGAAGGGGAAGCUAUUGCAGGGGUCAGGGUCAAGGUACUGGCCUCUGAAUCUCCCUUGUCGGUUACCAUCUCGAGACUGAAGGUUAAGGCUGCUGACCCAUAUCAAGAAGGUAGUGAGCUACAAGACACUUUGGGCACAUUGGCCUUCACUUUGUUCCCGGGGUGUCCCAGGACAAGGUCGUUUUUGCCUCAGCGUCUCCAUGAAUCAGACUUCUUCGCUGCAAGCGGAAGAAACUGAUCCUUGUCGGCUUAAGCAAAGGGGAUGGGGUAGAAAUUAAGGGCAAACUGGAGAAGAUAGUAAGACACAGAGCAGACAUCGGGAAAUAUGGGAUUCCACGAGUCUUCAGAGGGUCAAGAAGUAGGCAGCCCGAGACAGCACGGCAGAUUGUGUCUUUCCAGAAAUAUCUAUGGCGAUAUUUUCAGUCCGCCAAGCUCUUCCAGAAUCUUUGCACCUUUUUUUUUUUUUUUUUUUUAAUCAUGAGCUGGGUCUAUUUCCUCUUGAAACUUGGAGGAACUCUGCAAGUGCCUUGACGAACAGGAUGUGGCAGAAGUGGCACUGGAUGACCUCUAACCCCAAGGCAUAAGGGCAAAAUGGCUUCCGUCUGACUCUCUUGAGAUGCUUGCCCUUCUACUGUGUUGUGAGGAAACCCAGGCCACGUGGAGAAGCUGUAGGUGGGCGUCCUGGCUGACAGCCAAGCGUGGUGCUUGGCCAACAGCCAGCAUCCAUGGCCGGAACCAUGAGUGGAUAAGCCUUCAGAUGUCCCCGGCCCAGCCUUUGAGCUGUCUCUGCUCCCCCAAGUCAAGCAGAGAUGAGCUAUCCCUACGCAGCCCUGACCAGACUGCAGUUUCAUCAGCAAAAUAACGGUCGUCGUGAUUUUAAGCCUUAAGUUACGGGCUGGUUUGUUACACAGCAGUUGAUAACUGGGACAUGCGGCCACUGUGUCAGAGCAGAAAUUACCUGGCUGGGACACAGCCCAGGACCCCGAGGACCCCUCCACCCCUGUGAGACCGUCUGAACAUUUAUUCCCUCCAUCCUGAUCUCAGGAGAGAGCCUGUGCCUGUGUGAGUGAAGGUGCCCAGCCCUGGCUGCGCCGUGAGGCAGGUUGAAGAUGGAGAGAAUAAUAGUGUCUCCUUCACUGAGUCGUUAUGAAGGUUAAAUAAAUUCAUAUGCAUCAAGCCCCCGAAACAGUUCCUGGCAUGUAGUAAGAACACGGAUUCGAUUUUUAAUCAUUAGUUUUGUUACUAUUAAAAUGUGAGCUUGGAUAUCA
Long non-coding RNA from Neofelis nebulosa (Clouded leopard), 3358 nucleotides. RefSeq lists it as uncharacterized. Lineage: Eukaryota; Metazoa; Chordata; Mammalia; Carnivora; Felidae. The transcript is spliced from 3 exons. The record is from RefSeq and is a predicted model, not a curated record.